AUUGAACGCUGGCGGCAGGCCUAACACAUGCAAGUCGGGCGCGCGGCGGACGGGCGAGCUAUGUAUGGGGAUCUGCCUGAUGGAGGGGGAAAACUACUGGAAACGGUAGCUAAUACCGCAAAACAUGAUUUGAACCAAUAUGGGAUUAGCUUGUAGGUGAGGUAACGGCUCACCUAGGCGACGAUCCCUAGCUGGUCUGAGAGGAUGAUCAGCCACACUGGGACUGAGACACGGCCCAGACUCCUACGGGAGGCAGCAGUGGGGAAUAGUGCACAAUGGGCGCAAGCCUGAUGCAGCCAUGCCGCGUGUAUGAAGAAGGCCUUCGGGUUGUAAAGUACUUUCAGUCGGGAGGCGUUACCGACAGAAGAAGCACCGGCUAACUCCGUGCCAGCAGCCGCGGUAAUUC
RNAcentral lists this ribosomal RNA (406 nucleotides) under uncultured bacterium. RNAcentral's name for it is "partial 16S ribosomal RNA". It matches the Rfam family "Bacterial small subunit ribosomal RNA", at positions 30 to 526 of the family's 1533-position model. The record is from RNAcentral.